Lolium perenne is the source of this 756-nucleotide long non-coding RNA. RefSeq lists it as uncharacterized. The record is from RefSeq and is a predicted model, not a curated record. NCBI's taxonomy places the organism in Eukaryota, Viridiplantae, Streptophyta, Magnoliopsida, Poales, Poaceae.
ACUCCCUCCUCCUUUGGUCAUUUUUCUCACACUCCACUCCCUCACACUCUCCUCUACCUCUCCCCCACGAAAAUGCUGCUGCCCCUUGCUCCCAUGGCCGGCCAUGGCCAUGGAAGGCACUCCAAGAUGAAGCUCCCUCCUCCCUCAAGCUCCUCCUCACCAUGAGAGCCUCCCUCUCCUUCUUCUCCCCAACCCUAGAUGGUUUUCUCUCCUCUUCCUCUUCCUCCAUUGCUAAGAUUGGAUCUUGAUGCAGGUGCAUGUUGGUCCAAGCAUGGAGAAGCUUGAGCUAUCCUCAGAUCUGAAGUUCUUGAGCAAAAUCCAAAUCGAGUGAUUCAAAGUUCCGCAGAUAGAUACGGAAAAGAUCUACAACUUGGCGUUGGUCUCAUCCUCAAAUUCGUUACGGAUUGUCCGUGUUGAAAGCCCUCUUCAAUACCUUCAUUUUGGCGGUGGUUUCACUUCGAUUGACCUCCUGAAACUGAAAUGGUUCACAGGUCAAGAUCUGGUCAGAUCUGACUUUGUCGAAUUAAACCAGGAGCUUGGGAACGAAUUUUUGAAUGAAACCAAUUGGGGGAUGUUGGGUUAUACCAUGGUGAUAACCGAGAGAGGCAAUUGCUAAGUUGUGAUACUCUCAUACCUUUACUAGACGCGAGCAAUUCCGGAGAAGAAGAAGAAGUGGAAUUGGACAAGGAUUUUAUUUAUAUUGUUGGGAUUCUUAUAUUGAUAGAGUUGAAGAAGUACAGGGACAAAUAAGCCAAG